Molecule: ribosomal RNA, 2904 nt
Filed under: Enterobacter hormaechei subsp. hoffmannii UCICRE 3
Lineage: Bacteria; Pseudomonadati; Pseudomonadota; Gammaproteobacteria; Enterobacterales; Enterobacteriaceae
Description: bacterial LSU rRNA
Rfam family: Bacterial large subunit ribosomal RNA
Source: RNAcentral
UUAAGCGACUAAGCGUACACGGUGGAUGCCCUGGCAGUCAGAGGCGAUGAAGGACGUGCUAAUCUGCGAAAAGCGCCGGCGAGGUGAUAUGAACCUUUGACCCGGCGAUGUCCGAAUGGGGAAACCCAGUGCAAUCCGUUGCACUAUCGUUAACUGAAUACAUAGGUUAACGAGGCGAACCGGGGGAACUGAAACAUCUAAGUACCCCGAGGAAAAGAAAUCAACCGAGAUUCCCCCAGUAGCGGCGAGCGAACGGGGAGCAGCCCGGAGUCUGAAUCAGCUUGUGUGUUAGUGGAACGGUCUGGAAAGUCCGACGGUACAGGGUGAUAGUCCCGUACACGAAAGCACACUUGCUGUGAACUCGAAGAGUAGGGCGGGACACGUGGUAUCCUGUCUGAAUAUGGGGGGACCAUCCUCCAAGGCUAAAUACUCCUGACUGACCGAUAGUGAACCAGUACCGUGAGGGAAAGGCGAAAAGAACCCCGGCGAGGGGAGUGAAAAAGAACCUGAAACCGUGUACGUACAAGCAGUGGGAGCCUCUUUAUGGGGUGACUGCGUACCUUUUGUAUAAUGGGUCAGCGACUUAUAUUCUGUAGCAAGGUUAACCGUAUAGGGGAGCCGAAGGGAAACCGAGUCUUAACUGGGCGUUAAGUUGCAGGGUAUAGACCCGAAACCCGGUGAUCUAGCCAUGGGCAGGUUGAAGGUUGGGUAACACUAACUGGAGGACCGAACCGACUAAUGUUGAAAAAUUAGCGGAUGACCUGUGGCUGGGGGUGAAAGGCCAAUCAAACCGGGAGAUAGCUGGUUCUCCCCGAAAGCUAUUUAGGUAGCGCCUCGUGAACUCAUCUUCGGGGGUAGAGCACUGUUUCGGCUAGGGGGCCAUCCCGGCUUACCAACCCGAUGCAAACUACGAAUACCGAAGAAUGUUAUCACGGGAGACACACGGCGGGUGCUAACGUCCGUCGUGAAGAGGGAAACAACCCAGACCGCCAGCUAAGGUCCCAAAGUCAUGGUUAAGUGGGAAACGAUGUGGGAAGGCACAGACAGCCAGGAUGUUGGCUUAGAAGCAGCCAUCAUUUAAAGAAAGCGUAAUAGCUCACUGGUCGAGUCGGCCUGCGCGGAAGAUGUAACGGGGCUAAACCAUGCACCGAAGCUGCGGCAGCGACGCUUAUGCGUUGUUGGGUAGGGGAGCGUUCUGUAAGCCGUUGAAGGUGUCCUGUGAGGGGUGCUGGAGGUAUCAGAAGUGCGAAUGCUGACAUAAGUAACGAUAAAGCGGGUGAAAAGCCCGCUCGCCGGAAGACCAAGGGUUCCUGUCCAACGUUAAUCGGGGCAGGGUGAGUCGACCCCUAAGGCGAGGCCGAAAGGCGUAGUCGAUGGGAAACAGGUUAAUAUUCCUGUACUUGGUGUUACUGCGAAGGGGGGACGGAGAAGGCUAUGUCAGCCGGGCGACGGUUGUCCCGGUUUAAGCAUGUAGGCGGAGGUUCCAGGUAAAUCCGGUACCUUGUUAACGCUGAGGUGUGAUGACGAGGCACUACGGUGCUGAAGUGAUAAAUGCCCUGCUUCCAGGAAAAGCCUCUAAGCAUCAGGUAACACGAAAUCGUACCCCAAACCGACACAGGUGGUCAGGUAGAGAAUACCAAGGCGCUUGAGAGAACUCGGGUGAAGGAACUAGGCAAAAUGGUGCCGUAACUUCGGGAGAAGGCACGCUGAUGUGUAGGUGAAGUCCCUGCGGACGGAGCUGAAAUCAGUCGAAGAUACCAGCUGGCUGCAACUGUUUAUUAAAAACACAGCACUGUGCAAACACGAAAGUGGACGUAUACGGUGUGACGCCUGCCCGGUGCCGGAAGGUUAAUUGAUGGGGUUAGCGGCAACGCGAAGCUCUUGAUCGAAGCCCCGGUAAACGGCGGCCGUAACUAUAACGGUCCUAAGGUAGCGAAAUUCCUUGUCGGGUAAGUUCCGACCUGCACGAAUGGCGUAAUGAUGGCCAGGCUGUCUCCACCCGAGACUCAGUGAAAUUGAACUCGCUGUGAAGAUGCAGUGUACCCGCGGCAAGACGGAAAGACCCCGUGAACCUUUACUAUAGCUUGACACUGAACACUGGUCCUUGAUGUGUAGGAUAGGUGGGAGGCUUUGAAGCGUGGACGCCAGUCUGCGUGGAGCCAACCUUGAAAUACCACCCUUUAAUGGCUGGUGUUCUAACGUAGACCCGUAAUCCGGGUUGCGGACAGUGUCUGGUGGGUAGUUUGACUGGGGCGGUCUCCUCCCAAAGAGUAACGGAGGAGCACGAAGGUUGGCUAAUCCUGGUCGGACAUCAGGAGGUUAGUGCAAUGGCAUAAGCCAGCUUGACUGCGAGCGUGACGGCGCGAGCAGGUGCGAAAGCAGGUCAUAGUGAUCCGGUGGUUCUGAAUGGAAGGGCCAUCGCUCAACGGAUAAAAGGUACUCCGGGGAUAACAGGCUGAUACCGCCCAAGAGUUCAUAUCGACGGCGGUGUUUGGCACCUCGAUGUCGGCUCAUCACAUCCUGGGGCUGAAGUAGGUCCCAAGGGUAUGGCUGUUCGCCAUUUAAAGUGGUACGCGAGCUGGGUUUAGAACGUCGUGAGACAGUUCGGUCCCUAUCUGCCGUGGGCGCUGGAGAAUUGAGGGGGGCUGCUCCUAGUACGAGAGGACCGGAGUGGACGCAUCACUGGUGUUCGGGUUGUCAUGCCAAUGGCACUGCCCGGUAGCUAAAUGCGGAAGAGAUAAGUGCUGAAAGCAUCUAAGCACGAAACUUGCCCCGAGAUGAGUUCUCCCUGAGACCUUGAGUCUCCUGAAGGAACGUUGAAGACGACGACGUUGAUAGGUCGGGUGUGUAAGCGCAGCGAUGCGUUGAGCUAACCGAUACUAAUGAACCGUGAGGCUUAACCUU